GCUGCCUUUAGUUUAGGGGCUUAUCUAUCCUAUAUCCCUCAUCGUCAUCUAUCUAUAUCAAAAACAAAAAGAUUGCCGCUUUAUUAUAAAAUAAAAUCGAGGUUUCCCGCCUAAACAUCCAUCCACUAGGUAGUGACUAGUGAGUGAUAGAUACUGAUCACAGCAAGCAUUCUUUCUUUCUGAAUAGAAAGUAAAAAUGUUUUCCUCCACCGCAAAAAACCCUAACCCUAAAAAUGUGUACCACAUCGGAGGUCUGGCGGUCGAAUUUCCUUACCAACCGUACGGGUCGCAAUUUGCGUUUAUGGGUCGAGUAAUCUCAACCCUUAACCGAGCUCAGAAAGAAGGCCACUGUCACGCGUUGCUCGAGUCUCCAACUGGUACCGGCAAAUCCCUUUCGCUUCUUUGUUCCACACUCGCUUGGCAGCAACAUUACAAACCUGCUCCGGACCCAACUGCCGAUCCUCUCGCCAAUGGUGGAGGUUUUCUUCCCGACGAGGUUUCGCUUUCUUCCGCAUCAGAAAAUCCAGAAUCAGAAGUCACCAAUAAGAAGCAGAAGAAAAAGGCAGUUCCAACUAUUUAUUAUGCCUCGAGAACGCACUCACAAAUUUCUCAAUUGGUUCGUGAAUUGCGGAAAACAUCAUACAGGGUGCCGAUGGCUCUGUUGGCAUCACGAAAACAUUACUGCACCAAUAAAAAUAUAUGUGGCAAAGAAAACAUUGACGAAGAAUGUAAACUACUUUUGAAAGAUAAGGAAUUAGGCUGUUCAGAAUUCAAAAAUGUGCAUAAAGUCAAAAGUCACCCAUCCCUUCAGAAAGGAGGAUGCAAUGAGGUGCACGACAUAGAAGAUCUUGUAAAAGUUGGACAAUCGGUGAGAGGUUGCUCUUAUUAUGCUGCCCGUUCUAUGUCAGAUGAUGCACAGUUGGUAUUUUGUCCAUAUAACUACAUCAUUAAUCCAGUCAUCCGGGGAGCAAUGGACGUGGAUAUUAAAGGAGCCAUCGUGAUAUUUGAUGAAGCUCACAAUAUAGAGGACAUUAGUCGUGAUGCUGGUAGUGUGGAUAUUGAAGAGGAUAUAUUGGACAAACUACAAAUGGAGCUCCAGCAACUCCUUCAUUCAGAUACUGCAAUUUACCAACCCCUUUAUGAAAUGACACAGGGCCUUACUAGUUGGAUGGAACAGAAGAAAACUAAACUAGAAAAACGUGACUUUCAGCACUAUGUGUCAUGCUGGACAGGUGAUAAGGCUUUACAAGAGCUUGAAGAAGCAAAUAUUUCAAAGCAGUGCUUCCCUAUAUUGCUAGAAUGUGCCACUAAGGCAAUCAAAGUUGCCACAGACUUGGAAACGGAUGCACCGCGUUUAAGUGGCAUGUCAGUGAUAACAUUGGAAGGCUUAUUCUUAUCACUAUCUUAUUUCUUCUCUAAAAAUGGAUCUCACAUGUUGGAUUACCAGCUUGCUCUUCAGCGAAGUGUUAGAAAACAUGAGAGAAGAGCUUUUGGAAACUGGACACAUACUUUAAGUCUGUGGUGCUUGAAUCCAGAAGUUGUAUUUAGAGAUGUUGCCGAUCUUUCUUUAUCAGUCAUAUUGACUUCUGGGACACUGUCACCGAUGACAUCAUUUUCUUCUGAACUUGGAGUUAAGUUUGAAGCUAGUCUUGAAGCUCCACAUGUAAUUGAUAUUGAUUCACAGGUGUUGCCUGCUAUAAUCCCCACCGGUCCUGGUAAUAUUCCUCUGAAUGCAAGUUACAAAACUGCUGAUGGAUACGCAUUCCAGGAUGCAGUUGGAAGAUCUUUAGAGGAAAUCUUCAAGAUUGUUUCAGGUGGAUGUCUUGUGUUCUUUCCAAGUUAUAAAUUGAUGGAAAAAUUAUGCACCCGAUGGUCUGAAACAGGUCAAUGGUCUCGGCUCAAUGCAGAAAAGUCACUUUUUGUUGAACCAAAGGGGAGUAGCCAAGAUGAUUUUGAACUUACAUUGAAGGGUUAUUAUGACUCAAUUCAUCAUGACAAAAGACCUGCUUCUGGAAGGAAAAGAAGGAUUAAGAAAACUGAUCUAAAUCACUUCCAUGCAGUUGAUUCCCUACAGGAUUCUAAGAAAGGAGGAGCAGCUUUACUUGGUGUUUGUCGAGGAAAGGUUUCUGAAGGAAUUGAUUUCUCUGAUGAUAAUGCUAGAGUAGUCAUUAUUGUUGGUAUCCCAUUUCCAAACAUAAAUGAUAUUCAAGUUGCAUUAAAGAAAAAGUAUAAUGACACAUUCAAGUCAUCUAAACAUCUCUUAGGAGGAAAUGAGUGGUACUGCCACCAAGCAUUUCGAGCUUUAAAUCAAGCUGCAGGGCGGUGUAUACGGCAUAGACUUGAUUAUGGAGCAAUCAUCCUAUUGGAUGAGCGCUUUUGUGAAGAAAGGAAUAGAGCAUUUAUUUCAAAGUGGUUAAGAAGACCCUUGAGAGUGUAUGACAAUUUUGAUGUGUCACUGGAGGGACUAAAAUCAUUCUUUGAGAAUGCGAAGGAGAGGUAUGGCGUGAAUACAGUCCACCCCACAACGAAUUUGGACUUAAAUGGUGAUGAUGGUGUUCAAAACAAGGAUGGAAUUAUGAAGUUUACAAAGAAGAAAAAUCAGAAACUGAACAAGUCUAGAAAUGGAGGUGAUAAAGAAACAUCAGUUAUUGAGGAUAACAUCUCUAUUCCCAUAUCAAGCUCUCACAGUCUUGCUGAAAGUCGGCCACCAGCUCAAAGGAAUAGUAAUGCAUACAAUUUCAAAGACCAUAUUAACCUAGAAUGCUGUAAUCUGACAGAAAGGUUUCCUGGGGAAUCAUCUGUGCCAUUUACGCAUGAUGAAACCUCCAUUGUCAAGGAAAGCCCAUGUUUAGAUAUUGGCAGUGAUGCUGGCAGCUCCGAUUACUCUAAGAAUGACAAUUCUGAUUCCACCAUAAUUGAGGCUUCUGCUCGAUUUGCAAUGGAUCGCUUGUCAAGUUUUCCAGUGUCUUCAACUACUGGAAGUAAAGUAUCAAUGACGGUCACUCCUGAAAAGAGUGUAACUGCAAAUAAUAUUCCAGAAACAGAAUCAUCUUUGAAUUUGAGUGUUAAUUCUCACAAUCAGAAAAGAAGAAAGUCCAUGGUCAUACCAUUUGUAAACCUCAUUGAAGAAGAAAACAAUGAUGCAUCUUGUGCUAGCACUCCUACAUGGUGCACAAAAAGCUCAUUGGAAGUUAGAGAGGCAACUCAUAGAACUGAAUGUAGUUAUGGGAAAAUUUUAAACUCGCAAUCUCCUCAGUUACCAACAAACAAUAUACCUGGUUCAUGUUCUGUCCCUCUACUAGACAAAAGGUUACAACUAUUUUGUUCACUCUGCAAAAACCCAUUGGGACGACAUGAGAACCAUCUAUAUCUUACAUGCUCUUUGAUUUCAUCAUCAAAAGUUCACUUGAGAUUCCUUUUGAAAAAGAGACUGGAAACUUACACUGCGGAUACAGAAAAGAGUGUACAAGUUAUUGUUACUGAUUUUUCAUUUGUUGAUCAACGUAUUUGCAGUAGAAUACCCAAAAGUACACAGGAACAGGGUAUAUGGUGUCCAGAAGAUGGGUGUGUAUUCAGCACAAUUUUUUGUCCCUUCUGCAGUAAUACCAACAAUUUGCUUGGAGUUCAGAUCAUGGCAACCAAUUCAUCAAAUGUUCAGUUACUUGACAAGAUAUUGUUUUUCGUUGAUUCUUUGGAAAUGAAAAACCAGGAGGAAACAGGAAAAAGUGCCUCAGAGGAAAUGGGUUUUUUGCCGAUUAUCGACUCUGGCAUGGGUGGAGUUGCUGCCUUAAAUUCCCUUGAGAAAUAUUCUUAUGUUCCCCAACCAGGGAAAUCAGAAGUCCGGAGGUCUAAAAAAUCAAAGCCAAGACUAAGAGGCUAACAAGAUUGGAAUUAUGGCAACAACAGAGAAUUUUAUAGGACAAAACUUAUGCAUUUCUUUAAAGAGUUCAGUUAUGCUCCAUUCCUUUAUCCUCCAGUUUGCUCCAGUUCCUUUAUGGAUGAAUGACAUGUGGCAAUUAAAAAAUUUAAUGGUUUUGCAGUGUCACCGUUGACACUCGACGGCCACCACCAUGGCAAAGCUCCGCCGCCACCGUGUUUAUAUUAUUGAUCUUCUUUUUCUCUCAAAUCUACCAUGCCAAAGCUCUGCAAUUUUUUUAGAUUUGCAAUUUUCUCCCCCAAAUUGUUUUUCGCUAUGUUUGUUACGGUGCCGUUCACCGCUAUUUUCACAUCCGCCGCCGCUUGCCGUCGUGGUAUCUUCUUUGUGCCGCCAUCUCCCCAUUUUUUCAGUUUGAAGAUUGUUUGAUUGAAACUUAAGAUUGUCAUUGAAGAUUGAUUGAUUGAAAUUGUUGUUUGGUGGUGAUGCAAUCGAUUUGAGACAGGAAUUAGAAAAGAGGGAAAAUGUAAUUUUAAGAUUCUGCAACUUAAGUUUCUGUAAUUUUAAGAUUAUAAUGUUUUAAGAUCUAUCCGUUUUUCGGAAGAGGUGUUUCAUUUUUUUCCAUUAGAUUUUGUUCUUGUUUGGAAGAUCUGCAACGUGAAAAUAUGCUCGGCGCUGGAAUGAACGCAGAGGGAUGAUGUCGUCACUAGGACGGUGGCGAGCGGCGUAGGGAUUGCUAGAGUGGGCGACGAUGGCCAAACGGUGAUGAGAGGAAAAUGAAGCAUUGUACUGUGGAGGAAGAGGAAAGAGUGACAAAGGAAAGGAAGAAGACAAAUUAAUGAUGUUGUUAAAACUUUUUUCAAUUUUUAAUCCGGACCGUUGAUUAGUUUUUAUCCAAGUGUCACUAUCUGGGCAAGGUAAUGGAAGGAACUUGAGAAUAAGGUA
This is an RNA transcript of Trifolium pratense (red clover), 4819 nucleotides long. It is a transcript of the gene named Fanconi anemia group J protein homolog, with no coding region annotated. The record is from RefSeq and is a predicted model, not a curated record. Lineage: Eukaryota; Viridiplantae; Streptophyta; Magnoliopsida; Fabales; Fabaceae. The transcript has 30 exons.